This 254-nucleotide ribosomal RNA is filed under the name uncultured bacterium. RNAcentral describes it as "partial 16S ribosomal RNA". It matches the Rfam family "Bacterial small subunit ribosomal RNA", at positions 79 to 334 of the family's 1533-position model. The record is from RNAcentral.
CUUUCUUUGCUGGCGACCGGCGCACGGGUGAGUAACACGUAUCCAACCUGCCCUUUACUCGGGGAUAGCCUUUCGAAAGAAAGAUUAAUACCCGAUAGCAUAAUGAUUCCGCAUGGUUUCAUUAUUAAAGGAUUCCGGUAAAGGAUGGGGAUGCGUUCCAUUAGGUUGUUGGUGAGGUAACGGCCCACCAAGACUACGAUGGAUAGGGGUUCUGAGAGGAAGGUCCCCCACAUUGGAACUGAGACACGGUCCAA